GUAGGGAGCAAGCGUUGUUCGGAAUUAUUGGGCGUAAAGAGCGCGUAGGCGGCCAGGUAAGUCUGGUGUGAAAUCCCACAGCUCAACUGUGGAACUGCAUUGGAAACUGCUUGGCUAGAGUGCGGGAGAGGAGAGUGGAAUUCCCAGUGUAGAGGUGAAAUUCGUAGAUAUUGGGAGGAACACCAGUGGCGAAGGCGGCUCUCUGGACCGCAACUGACGCUGAGGCGCGAAAGCUAGGGGAGCGAACGGGAUUAGAUACCCCCGUAGUCCUAGCCGUAAACGAUGGGCACUAGGUGUAGGAGGUAUCGACCCCUUCUGUGCCGUAGCUAACGCAUUAAGUGCCCCGCCUGGGGAGUACGGUCGCAAGACUA
This 371-nucleotide ribosomal RNA is filed under the name uncultured organism. RNAcentral's name for it is "partial 16S ribosomal RNA". It matches the Rfam family "Bacterial small subunit ribosomal RNA", at positions 527 to 896 of the family's 1533-position model. The record is from RNAcentral.